UGGGGUGCAGCUCAGUGGCAGAGCACUUGCCUAGCAUGCACAAGGUCCUGGGUUUGAUCCCUAGCACCACAA
RNAcentral lists this transfer RNA (72 nucleotides) under Ictidomys tridecemlineatus (thirteen-lined ground squirrel). RNAcentral describes it as "Spermophilus tridecemlineatus (thirteen-lined ground squirrel) tRNA". It matches the Rfam family "tRNA". From Rfam's summary of the family: Transfer RNA (tRNA) molecules are approximately 80 nucleotides in length. Their secondary structure includes four short double-helical elements and three loops (D, anti-codon, and T loops). The record is from Rfam by way of RNAcentral. Lineage: Eukaryota; Metazoa; Chordata; Mammalia; Rodentia; Sciuridae.